RNAcentral lists this ribosomal RNA (254 nucleotides) under uncultured bacterium. Its description in RNAcentral is "partial 16S ribosomal RNA". It matches the Rfam family "Bacterial small subunit ribosomal RNA", at positions 526 to 779 of the family's 1533-position model. The record is from RNAcentral.
CGAAGGGGGCUAGCGUUGUUCGGAUUUACUGGGCGUAAAGCGCACGUAGGCGGAUUGUUAAGUCAGGGGUGAAAUCCUGGAGCUCAACUCCAGAACUGCCUUUGAUACUGGCAAUCUCGAGUCCGGAAGAGGUAAGUGGAACUCCUAGUGUAGAGGUGGAAUUCGUAGAUAUUAGGAAGAACACCAGUGGCGAAGGCGGCUUACUGGUCCGGAACUGACGCUGAGGUGCGAAAGCGUGGGGAGCAAACAGGAUU